UGGGAACCUUCCCUAUGGUUCGGAAUAGCCCAGGGAAACUUGGGGUAAUACCGGAUAAGCCCUUCGGGGGAAAGAUUUAUCGCCAUUGGAUGGGCCCGCGUCGGAUUAGCUAGUUGGUGGGUAACGCCCACAAGGCGACGAUCCGUAGCUGGUCUGAGAGGAUGAUCAGCCACACUGGGACUGAGACACGGCCCAGACUCCUACGGGAGGCAG
This 213-nucleotide ribosomal RNA is filed under the name uncultured bacterium. Its description in RNAcentral is "partial 16S ribosomal RNA". It matches the Rfam family "Bacterial small subunit ribosomal RNA", at positions 118 to 351 of the family's 1533-position model. The record is from RNAcentral.